Molecule: long non-coding RNA, 9336 nt
Organism: Leptopilina heterotoma
Lineage: Eukaryota; Metazoa; Arthropoda; Insecta; Hymenoptera; Figitidae
Exons: 2
Source: RefSeq, a predicted model, not a curated record
AUAUAAUUCCAAAAUAACAAAAAAAAAUUCAGAGAAAAAAAAUUUUUUUUUUCGACAAUAAAAUAUGAAAAUGGCGAGAAAAAGAAAGGGAGAAAAAUUAAAAAUUAAAAAAAAAAUUAAAAUUCUCGCACAGCCAUUGUCUCGCCUUAUGUAUGCAAUGUAUAUAUAUAAAUAUAAAGUAGUGAUUAUUAUAUAUAAAUAUAUUUAAUAAUAAAAGAAAAAUAAAAAAAAAUUGUGGUGAAAACAAAUGGAGAUGAUAGGAAAAAAAACAGAAGCGAGAAUAGAUACAAAAAAAUAUAUAUUGAGUUUUCCGAGCCAGCAAAAUUUGAAUCGCAUAUCAAAAAGCAAAAAAAAAGAAAGAAAUACAAACUAGUUAUUACAUUCCCAAUAUUGAUUUGGAAGGAAAGAAAAAAUUUUUUUCUUCAAAAUAAUAAUUUUUAUUUUUGAAAGUGAACACGGUUGAAACUUUUCUUUAUUUUUGUUUGGAAUUUUAUUUAAAAAAAUAAGGUCUUUAAUUUAAAAAACAGAAUUUUCAUGAAGCAACAAAUUUUUUAUUUUAAAACUUUUAUUUUUAUUUAAAAUUAAUAAAUACACAACACAAUUAUUAUUAAACAAUUUUCAUCUUACGAACGGUUAACUGAACUUUUGGCUUUCCCAUGACAUAUGAAAAUUGUUGGGGAUUUACUCGAGGACAUUUCACACAUUUAUUUAGAACUUUUUGAAGUUCAUCAUCAUCUGUCAAAGUCUAUUUAUCUAAAUUUGGUUAUUCAGAAUUAACCAUAUUUUGUACCACUGACUACUGAUCAACACAAUUCUUUGAAAGAUUUAGACAAGUAAUUGGGAUUUUUAUUCAGAAGUAAUUUGUCGGAAUUGAAAUUCACUUGAUCAGUAGUUGUUUAGCUUUUUUGACCUGGUUGACUGUAGUAAAGUUCCUAUUGCAUGGAUCAGGAAAUACAGUUAGUAGUUCUUAGAAGCCGAAUAAUAGGUUUUUUGUACAAGUCACAUAUCUGCUUGAUAAGGGAAAUAAGAGUCAUCUGCCUCCUUUUAAAAAAGCUUCUCCUAAAGCAGGUACAUGACCUACUAAUUGGGAAAAUUUAUUUAAAUCCUAGGGUGUUAUUCUUUCAUCCAUUUUUACGAAUGUAAAACCGUAUGACACCCAAUCUUCAUCUAAUUUUGAUUUCAUAUUUAAGAAAAAAUAAAACAUCAUUUAACGUAAGGACCUUAAAUGUGUUUAUAUUCAUUUUUGGUUUAUUUGAUUCUUUUUAUAAAGAUCAUCUUCUUGACAUUUAUUCCUCUAUCUAUCUGAUUGUAGAAGUGUACCAACAGCAUGGAUUAGGAAAUACAGUAAGUGGUUUUUUACUGCUGAAUAAUAGGUCUUCUGAACCAAUUCAAAAUCAGACUGGUAUGGAAAGUAGGAAUAUGGUCUGACGACUUUCUCAUUCGCAGAUGUUUCACUCUCUGUCACUGCUAUUAAUUUUUUGGCAAUUCCUUUCAUUAAAAAUGUUAUUGUCAUUGUGACAAGAAUAGACCUGGUUGAUUGUAGUAGUGUUCCUACAGCAUGGAUUAGGAAGUAUAUAUAGUUAGUGGUUCUUCACUGAUGAAAGGUUUAAUUGACUAUGUUAAACUUACUUAAAUGUUUAGCAUUUUUAGACCUGGUUGACUGUAGUUGUAUGCCAACAGCAUAGAUUAGGAAGUAUAGUUGAUGGUUUUUAAAUGCAGAGUAAUAUGUUUUUUUACUAGUUAAAUGUCAGAUUGAUACGGAAAGUAUGAUGAGAAAUAUUGUAUGACGACUUUUUCAUUCGCAAAUGUUUCACUCCCUGUCACUGCUAAUAAUUUUUUGGCAAUUCCUUUCAUUGAAAAUGUUCAUGUCAUUCUGACAAGAAUAGACCUGGUUGAUUGUAGUAGUGUUCCUACAGCAUGGAUUAGGAAGUAUAUAUAGUUAGUGGUUCUUCACUGAUGAAAGGUUUAAUUGACUAUGUUAAACUUACUUAAAUGUUUAGCAUUUUUAGACCUGGUUGACUGUAGUUGUAUGCCAACAGCAUAGAUUAGGAAGUAAAGUUGAUGGUUUUCAAAUGCAGAGUAAUAGGUCUUUUGAACAAAUUCAAAAUCAGACUGAUAUGGAAAGUAGGAAAAUGGUAUGACGACUUUUUCAUUCACAAAUGUUUCACUCCCUGUCACUGCUAAUAAUUUUUUGGCAAUUCCUUUCAUUGAAAAUGUUCAUGUCAUUCUGACAAGAAUAGACCUGGUUGAUUGUAGUAGUGUUCCUACAGCAUGGAUUAGGAAGUAUAUAUAGUUAGUGGUUCUUCACUGAUGAAAGGUUUAAUUGACUAUGUUAAACUUACUUAAAUGUUUAGCAUUUUUAGACCUGGUUGACUGUAGUUGUAUGCCAACAGCAUAGAUUAGGAAGUAUAGUUGAUGGUUAUAAAUGCAGAGUAAUAUGUUUUUUUUACUAGUUAAAUGUCAGAUUGAUACGGAAAGUAUGAUGAGAAACAUUGUAUGACGACUUUUUCAUUCGCAAAUGUUUCACUCCCUGUCACUGCUAAUAAUUUUUUGGCAAUUCCUUUCAUUAAAAAUGUUCUUGUCAUUGUGACAUAAUGCGAGAAUGCAUAUGCCAUGAUCUUAGCAUUGACGGUUUUAUUGACUACGUUAAUCAUACAUAAAUGUUUAGCAUUUUUAGACCUGGUUGACUGUAGUUGUAUGUCAACAGCAUGGAUUAGGAAGUAUAGAUAGUUAGUGGUUCUUCACUAAUGACAGAUUUUAUUGACUAAGAUAAUCAUAGUUAAAUGUUUAGCAUUUUUAGACCUGGUUGACUGUAGUUGUAUGUCAACAGCAUGGAUUAGGAAGUAUAGAUAGUUAGUGGUUCUUCACUAAUGACAGAUUUUAUUGACUAAGAUAAUCAUAGUUAAAUGUUUAGCAUUUAUAGACCUGGUUGACUGUAGUUGUAUGUCAACAGCAUGGAUUAGGAAGUAUAGAUAGUUAGUGGUUCUUCACUAAUGAAUAAUGGGUCUUUUGAACAAAUUCAAAAUCAGACUGAUAUGGAAAGUAGGAAAAUGGUAUGACGACUUUUUCAUUCACAAAUGUUUCACUCCCUGUCACUGCUAAUAAUUUUUUGGCAAUUCCUUUCAUUGAAAAUGUUCAUGUCAUUCUGACAAGAAUAGACCUGGUCGAUUGUAGUAGUGUUCCUACAGCAUGGAUUAGGAAGUAUAUAUAGUUAGUGGUUCUUCACUGAUGAAAGGUUUAAUUGACUAUGUUAAACUUACUUAAAUGUUUAGCAUUUUUAGACCUGGUUGACUGUAGUUGUAUGCCAACAGCAUAGAUUAGGAAGUAAAGUUGAUGGUUAUAAAUGCAGAGUAAUAUGUAUUUUUUACUAGUUAAAUGUCAGAUUGAUACGGAAAGUAUGAUGAGAAACAUUGUAUGACGACUUUUUCAUUCGCAAAUGUUUCACUCCCUGUCACUGCUAAGUGUGGAAUUUUGGCAAUUCCUUUCAUUAAAAAUGUUCUUGUCAUUGUGACAAGAUUAGACCUGGUUGAUUGUAGUAGUGUUCCUACAGCAUGGAUUAGGAAAUAUAGUUGAUGAUUUUUGGACGCAGAGUAAUAUGUUUUUUGUACUAGUUCAAUGUCUGAUUGAUACGGAAAGUAUGAGUCUUCUGCCUCUUUUAAUUUAGCUUCUCCUAAAGAAGAUACAUGAUCUACUAAUUGGGUGAGUUUAUUUAAAUCCUAGGGCGUUAUUUUUUCAUCCAUUUUUACGAAUGUAACACCGUAUGACACCCAAUCUUCAUCUAAUUUUCAUUUCACAUUUAUGAGAAAAUAAUACAUCAUUACUUUAAAUGUGUUUAUAUUCAUUUUUGUCUUAUUUGAUUCUUUUCAUAAAGAUCAUCUUGCUGACGAUCACUCGUCUAUCUAUCUGAUUGUAGAAGUGUUCCAACAGCAUGGAUUACGAAGUACAUUUAAUGGUUUUUCACUGUUGAAUAAUAGGUCUUUUGAACAAAUUCAAAAUCAGACUGAUAUGGAAAGUAGGAAAAUGGUAUGACGACUUUUUCAUUCACAAAUGUUUCACUCCCUGUCACUGCUAAUAAUUUUUUGGCAAUUCCUUUCAUUGAAAAUGUUCAUGUCAUUCUGACAAGAAUAGACCUGGUUGAUUGUAGUAGUGUUCCUACAGCAUGGAUUAGGAAGUAUAUAUAGUUAGUGGUUCUUCACUGAUGAUAGGUUUAAUUGACUAUGUUAAACUUACUUAAAUGUUUAGCAUUUUUAGACCUGGUUGACUGUAGUUGUAUGCCAACAGCAUAGAUUAGGAAGUAUAGUUGAUGGUUAUAAAUGCAGAGUAAUAGGUCUUUUGAACAAAUUCAAAAUCAGACUGAUAUGGAAAGUAGGAAAAUGGUAUGACGACUUUUUCAUUCACAAAUGUUUCACUCCCUGUCACUGCUAAUAAUUUUUUGGCAAUUCCUUUCAUUAAAAAUGUUCUUGUCAUUGUGACAAGAAUAGACCUGGUUGAUUGUAGUAGUGUUCCUACAGCAUGGAUUAGGAAGUAUAUAUAGUUAGUGGUUCUUCACUGAUGAAAGGUUUAAUUGACUAUGUUAAACUUACUUAAAUGUUUAGCAUUUUUAGACCUGGUUGACUGUAGUUGUAUGUCAACAGCAUGGAUUAGGAAGUAUAGAUAGUUAGUGGUUCUUCACUAAUGACAGAUUUUAUUGACUAAGAUAAUCAUAGUUAAAUGUUUAGCAUUUAUAGACCUGGUUGACUGUAGUUGUAUGUCAACAGCAUGGAUUAGGAAGUAUAGAUAGUUAGUGGUUCUUCACUAAUGAAUAAUGGGUCUUCUGAACCAAUUCAAAAUCAGACUGGUAUGGAAAGUAGGAAUAUGGUCUGACGACUUUCUCAUUCGCAGAUUUUUCACACUCUGUCACUGCUAUUAAUUUUUUGGCAAUUCCUUUCAUUAAAAAUGUUCUUGUCAUUGUGACAAGAAUAGACCUGGUUGAUUGUAGUAGUGUUCCUACAGCAUGGAUUAGGAAGUAUAUAUAGUUAGUGGUUCUUCACUGAUGAAAGGUUUAAUUGACUAUGUUAAACUUACUUAAAUGUUUAGCAUUUUUAGACCUGGUUGACUGUAGUUGUAUGUCAACAGCAUGGAUUAGGAAGUAUAGAUAGUUAGUGGUUCUUCACUAAUGACAGAUUUUAUUGACUAAGAUAAUCAUAGUUAAAUGUUUAGCAUUUAUAGACCUGGUUGACUGUAGUUGUAUGUCAACAGCAUGGAUUAGGAAGUAUAGAUAGUUAGUGGUUCUUCACUAAUGAAUAAUGGGUCUUCUGAACCAAUUCAAAAUCAGACUGGUAUGGAAAGUAGGAAUAUGGUCUGACGACUUUCUCAUUCGCAGAUUUUUCACACUCUGUCACUGCUAUUAAUUUUUUGGCAAUUCCUUUCAUUAAAAAUGUUCUUGUCAUUGUGACAAGAAUAGACCUGGUUGAUUGUAGUAGUGUUCCUACAGCAUGGAUUAGGAAGUAUAUAUAGUUAGUGGUUCUUCACUGAUGAAAGGUUUAAUUGACUAUGUUAAACUUACUUAAAUGUUUAGCAUUUUUAGACCUGGUUGACUGUAGUUGUAUGUCAACAGCAUGGAUUAGGAAGUAUAGAUAGUUAGUGGUUCUUCACUAAUGACAGAUUUUAUUGACUAAGAUAAUCAUAGUUAAAUGUUUAGCAUUUAUAGACCUGGUUGACUGUAGUUGUAUGUCAACAGCAUGGAUUAGGAAGUAUAGAUAGUUAGUGGUUCUUCACUAAUGAAUAAUGGGUCUUCUGAACCAAUUCAAAAUCAGACUGAUAUGGAAAGUAGGAAAAUGGUAUGACGACUUUUUCAUUCACAAAUGUUUCACUCCCUGUCACUGCUAAUAAUUUUUUGGCAAUUCCUUUCAUUGAAAAUGUUCAUGUCAUUCUGACAAGAAUAGACCUGGUUGAUUGUAGUAGUGUUCCUACAGCAUGGAUUAGGAAGUAUAUAUAGUUAGUGGUUCUUCACUGAUGAUAGGUUUAAUUGACUAUGUUAAACUUACUUAAAUGUUUAGCAUUUUUAGACCUGGUUGACUGUAGUUGUAUGCCAACAGCAUAGAUUAGGAAGUAUAGUUGAUGGUUAUAAUUGAGAGUAAUAUGUUUUUUUUACUAGUUAAAUGUCAGAUUGAUACGGAAAGUAUGAUGAGAAACAUUGUAUGACGACUUUUUCAUUCGCAAAUGUUUCACUCCCUGUCACUGCUAAUAAUUUUUUGGCAAUUCCUUUCAUUAAAAAUGUUCUUGUCAUUGUGACAUAAUGCGAGAAUGCAUAUGCCAUGAUCUUAGCAUUGACGGUUUUAUUGACUACGUUAAUCAUACAUAAAUGUUUAGCAUUUUUAGACCUGGUUGACUGUAGUUGUAUGUCAACAGCAUGGAUUAGGAAGUAUAGAUAGUUAGUGGUUCUUCACUAAUGACAGAUUUUAUUGACUAAGAUAAUCAUAGUUAAAUGUUUAGCAUUUAUAGACCUGGUUGACUGUAGUUGUAUGUCAACAGCAUGGAUUAGGAAGUAUAGAUAGUUAGUGGUUCUUCACUAAUGAAUAAUGGGUCUUCUGAACCAAUUCAAAAUCAGACUGGUAUGGAAAGUAGGAAUAUGGUCUGACGACUUUCUCAUUCGCAGAUUUUUCACACUCUGUCACUGCUAUUAAUUUUUUGGCAAUUCCUUUCAUUAAAAUGUUCUUGUCAUUGUGACAAGAAUAGACCUGGUUGAUUGUAGUAGUGUUCCUACAGCAUGGAUUAGGAAGUAUAAAUAGUUAGUGGUUCUUCACUGAUGAAAGGUUUAAUUGACUAUGUUAAACUUACUUAAAUGUUUAGCAUUUUUAGACCUGGUUGACUGUAGUUGUAUGUCAACAGCAUGGAUUAGGAAGUAUAGAUAGUUAGUGGUUCUUCACUAAUGACAGAUUUUAUUGACUAAGAUAAUCAUAGUUAAAUGUUUAGCAUUUAUAGACCUGGUUGACUGUAGUUGUAUGUCAACAGCAUGGAUUAGGAAGUAUAGAUAGUUAGUGGUUCUUCACUAAUGAAUAAUGGGUCUUCUGAACCAAUUCAAAAUCAGACUGAUAUGGAAAGUAGGAAAAUGGUAUGACGACUUUUUCAUUCACAAAUGUUUCACUCCCUGUCACUGCUAAUAAUUUUUUGGCAAUUCCUUUCAUUGAAAAUGUUCAUGUCAUUCUGACAAGAAUAGACCUGGUUGAUUGUAGUAGUGUUCCUACAGCAUGGAUUAGGAAGUAUAUAUAGUUAGUGGUUCUUCACUGAUGAUAGGUUUAAUUGACUAUGUUAAACUUACUUAAAUGUUUAGCAUUUUUAGACCUGGUUGACUGUAGUUGUAUGCCAACAGCAUAGAUUAGGAAGUAUAGUUGAUGGUUAUAAAUGCAGAGUAAUAGGUCUUUUGAACAAAUUCAAAAUCAGACUGAUAUGGAAAGUAGGAAAAUGGUAUGACGACUUUUUCAUUCACAAAUGUUUCACUCCCUGUCACUGCUAAUAAUUUUUUGGCAAUUCCUUUCAUUGAAAAUGUUCAUGUCAUUCUGACAAGAAUAGACCUGGUUGAUUGUAGUAGUGUUCCUACAGCAUGGAUUAGGAAGUAUAUAUAGUUAGUGGUUCUUCACUGAUGAAAGGUUUAAUUGACUAUGUUAAACUUACUUAAAUGUUUAGCAUUUUUAGACCUGGUUGACUGUAGUUGUAUGCCAACAGCAUAGAUUAGGAAGUAUAGUUGAUGGUUAUAAUUGAGAGUAAUAUGUUUUUUUUACUAGUUAAAUGUCAGAUUGAUACGGAAAGUAUGAUGAGAAACAUUGUAUGACGACUUUUUCAUUCGCAAAUGUUUCACUCCCUGUCACUGCUAAUAAUUUUUUGGCAAUUCCUUUCAUUAAAAAUGUUCUUGUCAUUGUGACAUAAUGCGAGAAUGCAUAUGCCAUGAUCUUAGCAUUGACGGUUUUAUUGACUACGUUAAUCAUACAUAAAUGUUUAGCAUUUUUAGACCUGGUUGACUGUAGUUGUAUGUCAACAGCAUGGAUUAGGAAGUAUAGAUAGUUAGUGGUUCUUCACUAAUGACAGAUUUUAUUGACUAAGAUAAUCAUAGUUAAAUGUUUAGCAUUUAUAGACCUGGUUGACUGUAGUUGUAUGUCAACAGCAUGGAUUAGGAAGUAUAGAUAGUUAGUGGUUCUUCACUAAUGAAUAAUGGGUCUUCUGAACCAAUUCAAAAUCAGACUGGUAUGGAAAGUAGGAAUAUGGUCUGACGACUUUCUCAUUCGCAGAUUUUUCACACUCUGUCACUGCUAUUAAUUUUUUGGCAAUUCCUUUCAUUAAAAAUGUUCUUGUCAUUGUGACAAGAAUAGACCUGGUUGAUUGUAGUAGUGUUCCUACAGCAUGGAUUAGGAAGUAUAUAUAGUUAGUGGUUCUUCACUGAUGAAAGGUUUAAUUGACUAUGUUAAACUUACUUAAAUGUUUAGCAUUUUUAGACCUGGUUGACUGUAGUUGUAUGUCAACAGCAUGGAUUAGGAAGUAUAGAUAGUUAGUGGUUCUUCACUAAUGACAGAUUUUAUUGACUAAGAUAAUCAUAGUUAAAUGUUUAGCAUUUAUAGACCUGGUUGACUGUAGUUGUAUGUCAACAGCAUGGAUUAGGAAGUAUAGAUAGUUAGUGGUUCUUUACUAAUGAAUAAUGGGUCUUCUGAACCAAUUCAAAAUCAGACUGAUAUGGAAAGUAGGAAAAUGGUAUGACGACUUUUUCAUUCACAAAUGUUUCACUCCCUGUCACUGCUAAUAAUUUUUUGGCAAUUCCUUUCAUUGAAAAUGUUCAUGUCAUUCUGACAAGAAUAGACCUGGUUGAUUGUAGUAGUGUUCCUACAGCAUGGAUUAGGAAGUAUAUAUAGUUAGUGGUUCUUCACUGAUGAAAGGUUUAAUUGACUAUGUUAAACUUACUUAAAUGUUUAGCAUUUUUAGACCUGGUUGACUGUAGUUGUAUGCCAACAGCAUAGAUUAGGAAGUAAAGUUGAUGGUUAUAAAUGCAGAGUAAUAUGUCUUUUUUACUAGUUAAAUGUCAGAUUGAUACGGAAAGUAUGAUGAGAAACAUUGUAUGACGACUUUUUCAUUCGCAAAUGUUUCACUCCCUGUCACUGCUAAUAAUUUUUUGGCAAUUCCUUUCAUUAAAAAUGUUCUUGUCAUUGUGACAAGAUUAGACCUGGUUGAUUGUAGUAGUGUUCCUACAGCAUGGAUUAGGAAGUAUAGUUGAUGAUUUUUGGACGCAGAGUAAUAUGUUUUUUGUACUAGUUCAAUGUCUGAUUGAUACGGAAAGUAUGAGUCUUCUGCCUCUUUUAAUUUAGCUUCUCC